AGUGAACGCUGGCGGCGUGCCUAAUACAUGCAAGUCGAACGGAGAUUAAGUAGCUUGCUAUUUAAUCUUAGUGGCGCACGGGUGAGUAAUAUAUAGCUAACUUGCCCAUUACUAAGGGACAACAGUUGGAAACGACUGCUAAUACCUUAUACUCCGUAUCUAUAUAAGUAGAUACGGGAAAGUUUUUCGGUAAUGGAUAGGGCUAUAUCGUAUCAGCUAGUUGGUAAGGUAAUGGCUUACCAAGGCUAUGACGCGUAACUGGUCUGAGAGGAUGAUCAGUCACACUGGAACUGAGACACGGGCCAGACUCCGACGGGAGGCAGCAGUAGGGAAGAUUGAUCAAUGGGGGAAACCCUGAAGCAGCAACGGCGCGUGGAGGAUGACACUUUGCGGAGCGUAAACUCCUUUUCUUGGGAAAGAAUUAUGACGGUACCCAAUGAAUAAGCACCGGCUAACUCCGUG
This 462-nucleotide ribosomal RNA is filed under the name uncultured bacterium. Its description in RNAcentral is "partial 16S ribosomal RNA". It matches the Rfam family "Bacterial small subunit ribosomal RNA", at positions 29 to 507 of the family's 1533-position model. The record is from RNAcentral.